RNAcentral lists this ribosomal RNA (252 nucleotides) under uncultured bacterium. RNAcentral describes it as "partial 16S ribosomal RNA". It matches the Rfam family "Bacterial small subunit ribosomal RNA", at positions 524 to 776 of the family's 1533-position model. The record is from RNAcentral.
UACGUAGGGUGCGAGCGUUGUCCGGAAUUAUUGGGCGUAAAGAGCUUGUAGGCGGUUUGUCGCGUCUGCCGUGAAAAUUCGAGGCUCAACCUCGAACUUGCGGUGGGUACGGGCAGACUAGAGUGUGGUAGGGGAGACUGGAAUUCCUGGUGUAGCGGUGAAAUGCGCAGAUAUCAGGAGGAACACCGAUGGCGAAGGCAGGUCUCUGGGCCACUGACUGCGUGAGAAGCGAAAGCAUGGGGAGCGAACAGG